GAUGAACGCUGGCGGCGUGCCUAAUACAUGCAAGUCGAACGCACAGCGAAAGGUGCUUGCACCUUUCAAGUGAGUGGCGAACGGGUGAGUAACACGUGGACAACCUGCCUCAAGGCUGGGGAUAACAUUUGGAAACAGAUGCUAAUACCGAAUAAAACUUAGUGUCGCAUGACACAAAGUUAAAAGGCGCUUCGGCGUCACCUAGAGAUGGAUCCGCGGUGCAUUAGUUAGUUGUGGGUAAAGCUACAAGACAAUGAUGCAUAGCCGAGUUGAGAGACUGAUCGGCCACAUUGGGACUGAGACACGG
This 307-nucleotide ribosomal RNA is filed under the name uncultured bacterium. Its description in RNAcentral is "bacterial SSU rRNA". It matches the Rfam family "Bacterial small subunit ribosomal RNA", at positions 28 to 329 of the family's 1533-position model. The record is from RNAcentral.